GAUGAACGCUGACAGAAUGCUUAACACAUGCAAGUCGAUGGGGAAGUGGUGCUUGCCCCUCGGUAACCAUGGCGGACGGGUGAGUAACGCGUAAGGAACUUGCCUGCGGGACUGGGAUAACAGCAGGCAACUGCUGAUAAUACCGGAUAAGGUCAUUAAUCUGCAUAGCUUAGCGAUGAAAGGAGACGCCUGCGGAGAGCCUUGCGUCCUAUUAGCUAGUGGGAGGGGUAACGGCCCACCAAGGCGAAGAUAGGUAGCCGGCCUGAGAGGGUGGACGGCCAAGAGGGCUAUGGGAGGCAGCAGUUACGCCUACGGGAGGAAGGAGGGGAGAAUAAUGGAGAAUGGGGGCGUGCGUGAUGAAGCAAUUCUGUGUGCACGAAGACGGUUUUCGGAAUGUAAAGUGCUUUCAGCAGGGAAGAAGGAAGUGACGGUACCUGAAGAAGAAGCGACGGCUAAAUACGUG
This 463-nucleotide ribosomal RNA is filed under the name uncultured bacterium. Its description in RNAcentral is "partial 16S ribosomal RNA". It matches the Rfam family "Bacterial small subunit ribosomal RNA", at positions 28 to 507 of the family's 1533-position model. The record is from RNAcentral.